This 448-nucleotide ribosomal RNA is filed under the name uncultured bacterium. Its description in RNAcentral is "partial 16S ribosomal RNA". It matches the Rfam family "Bacterial small subunit ribosomal RNA", at positions 329 to 793 of the family's 1533-position model. The record is from RNAcentral.
GGCCAGACUCCUACGGGAGGCAGCAGUGGGGAAUAUUGCACAAUGGGGGAAACCCUGAUGCAGCAACGCCGCGUGAGUGAGGAAGUCUUUCGGUAUGUAAAGCCCUAUCGGCAGGGAAGAAGCAAGACGGUACCUGACUAAGAAGCCCCGGCUAACUACGUGCCAGCAGCCGCGGUAAUACGUAGGGGGCGAGCGUUAUCCGGAUUCACUGGGUGUAAAGGGAGCGUAGACGGCCAAGCAAGCCAGGGGUGAAAGCCCGGGGCCCAACCCCGGGACUGCCCUUGGAACUGCUUGGCUGGAGUGCGGGAGGGGCAGGCGGAAUUCCUGGGGUAGCGGUGAAAUGCGUAGAUAUUAGGAGGAACACCAGUGGCGAAGGCGGCUUACUGGACUGUAACUGACGUUGAGGCUCGAAAGCGUGGGGAGCAAACAGGAUUAGAUACCCUCGUAC